CGAAAGCCUGACGGAGCAAGACCGCGUGAGGGAGGAAGGCUCUUGGGUUGUAAACCUCUUUUCUCAGGGAAGAAGCUCUGACGGUACCUGAGGAGUCAGCCUCGGCUAACUCCGUGCCAGCAGCCGCGGUAAUACGGAGGAGGCAAGCGUUAUCCGGAAUUAUUGGGCGUAAAGCGUCCGCAGGUGGUCUGGCAAGUCUGCUGUCAAAGACCGGGGCUUAACUCCGGAAAGGCAGUGGAAACUGCGAGACUAGAGUGCGGUAGGGGUAGAGGGAAUUCCCGGUGUAGCGGUGAAAUGCGUAGAGAUCGGGAAGAACAUCGGUGGCGAAAGCGCUCUACUGGACGGCAACUGACACUCAGGGACGAAAGCUAGGGGAGCG
RNAcentral lists this ribosomal RNA (379 nucleotides) under uncultured cyanobacterium. Its description in RNAcentral is "bacterial SSU rRNA". It matches the Rfam family "Bacterial small subunit ribosomal RNA", at positions 376 to 770 of the family's 1533-position model. The record is from RNAcentral. Lineage: Bacteria; Bacillati; Cyanobacteriota.